CAGGCUUUAUUUUUCUUGAGUGCAACACACACAGGCACAUGUUUUUAAAAACAAAUAAUGUGAUCAUACUAUACACGCUUUUUUAAAAGCAGAAAUGUGAGCAUACGAUACACGCUUUUUUAUAGCUGACUUUAAAAAACUUAAACAAUAGGUUGUUUACGUCUUUCUGUUAAGCUUGGACUGGGGACAUUUUUAAAUGGCCCCAUUGUAUUUGGACGUAUGUGCGUUUCCCAUCGCUUGUUAAAUCACUCCUCUGUUGUUGGACGUCCAGGAUGUUUCCAAUUAUUCACUGUUAUAUUAUGGACAACACUGCCACGAUCAUCCCUAAGUGAGUUAUAUUUAAAGGCUUACAACAGCGCCUGGCACGGGGUAGGUGCUGUAAAGUAUUUGGACUAAAGUCAAAUCUGUGCACACACCAUCCUUGUGUUGUUUCCCCAGGAUCAAUUCCAGCAGGAGGACGGCUGGGCUGAGGGGGCACCUCCCACGUCAGGAAGGUUGUCCCCGUGGCCUGCCUCCGACUGAGGAGGAGCCGCCCUCGGGGACGGGCGUGGACCCCGAGCCGCCGGCAUGGGAACCCUCUUUGCUUCGGGGCAACACGGGAGGGGUCUGGAUCUCCGACCCACCGUUCCGGGUCUGAAUCCAGCUCCGGGACCUGACAGGGAUGUGAUUGUGGGGCAGCCGCAUGGCCUCUUGGCGCUCCAGCCUCCUGCCCUGUGACAUAGAGGCAGCGAUGGUUGGUAACCAGGGACAGUGGGCGGCUCCGUCACACGAGUCAGGACAUGUGACCCUUGGAGGGUUGCUGCAUCACCCUGGACGUUUGGCCAGACGGGUGGCCAUGGUUUUAAUCGGGACAAUUUUUUGCUUGCUCCAACUUAUGAGGGUGGCCAGAUCUAGACAGACAGCAGAAGUAACCCGAAGUCCUGGCCUGCCCUGUGCCAUCCUCUGACAUGUUAUCAUUGGCGUUCACUCUGUGGGCUCCUCUCGGGGUGAUGCCUGCCGGUCUCAGUUUUGGGGUGAAGUGACAUUUGGCCUUGACUAGAAGAGGCAGGUUGUGGGGGGCAGGCAGGGUGCAGGCGAGGGAACUGAGGCAGAGCGGGCUGGGAGCAGAGGGGAUGUAGGGUCCUCCCAGGCUGACCCCCAGAACCUGGGCGUGCAGGCCUGCUCUGGGGUCCAGGCUCCGAUGCAGUCUCAGCGCAGGCCCUGGUGGCCGGAGACAGGGCAGGGCAGUAGCUUCAGGCCACCCGCACCGGCAGCCCUCAAGACUGCCUUGAUGGAAUCGGACCCAGAUGCACCCUAAGCGGCCUCCUGCUUGGAAACCCUAUCAGACCCUGCGUUUUCUACAGAGCGGCUAAGUCACACGGCUUUUCCGGACGGUGAUUAUGGACUGCAUGUGGGAUUGACGGGCCAGGUGAGCUCUCGUGCUUGUCCUUCACACAGGAAAGCUGCUGGUCUCCUGUGUCUGGUUCCCGUCUGCAUUUUCAGUCCUCAGUGUUGAGCGUGUGCAAAUCCCUUCUAUCACCUGACAUUUAAAAUAGACACCCUCAGAGUGGAAGUUCCUUCCCAUUAUUGACCCGCUCACUCUGCAAUCUUGAAGGGGGUUCUCCAAGCAGGAGGGAAAGCCGGCCAGAACGCGGUCCUGGAGCAGCCAGGAAGCCGAGGGGGCGGUGAGGGCAGGGAUGGCCCAGCCGUGGCCUCUGCCGCUCGCUGGUUUUCACGUGAGACUGCCGCCGGGCCAACCCGGAGCCCAGGCCGCCUCUGCAUCUGAAUAGAGCCAAGCUGCCGCCGGGAUCUCACCUGCGUGGCCGUGCAGAGCUGCGGGCCCCUUCCCCACCGAGAAGCGUCUGUUCGCGCCCUGCAGGGAGCUGGGCUGGGGGCUCAGAGGAUGCCUCUGUGCUUGGCCUUAAUGUGCACAGGGAGCGCUUGGGCGAUCCUGGCUCAAGGGCUCUGCUUGGAAACAGCUCGGGGAAACGGUUCCUCCCCCUGGAUGUAGUCACAGCGUGGUAAAUUCCAUCUGAAAAAUAAAAGCCGAGCUCUUUGCUGAGUCACAGAACCUCGGAGCUGAUUUGCGCAAAAGCCGGACUGAGUCUUGGACGAGCCGGGAAAGAUUCUCACAGUCGAGCAGAGCGAUGGGAGAGAGGAGCAGACGGUGAGCUUUGGAAUGUGAAUGAGAAGAUGUAGUGUGACAGCAGCCCGGGUGACACCUGCUGGGAGCUUGGCGUGGACACCCCAGCCACCCCCAGCUCAGCCCAGCCCAGCCGGAGCACCCUACCCCUGGGUAUCCCCCCGGCCAUCCAGCCUCACCAUGUCCAAGAGGGGCAUGAGCAGCCGGGCCAAGGGGGACAAGGCAGAGGCCCUCGCGGCGCUGCAGGCGGCCAACGAGGAUCUUCGAGCCAAGCUCACAGACAUCCAGAUCGAGCUGCAGCAGGAGAAGAGCAAGGUCAGCAAAGUGGAACGCGAGAAGAACCAGGAGCUGCGGCAGGUGCGCGAGCAUGAGCAGCAUAAGACCGCGGUCUUGCUCACGGAGCUCAAGACAAAGCUGCACGAGGAGAAGAUGAAGGAGCUACAAGCUGUGCGUGAGACGCUGCUGCGGCAGCAUGAGGCCGAGCUGCUCAGGGUCAUCAAGAUCAAGGACAACGAGAACCAGCGGCUGCAGGCACUGCUCAGUGCCCUGCGUGACGGCGGCCCCGAAAAGGUCAAGACCGUGCUGCUCUCCGAGGCCAAGGAGGAGGCCAAGAAGGGGUUCGAGGUGGAGAAGGUCAAGAUGCAGCAGGAGAUCUCCGAGCUCAAGGGCGCCAAGAGGCAGGUGGAGGAGGCGCUGACGCUGGUGAUCCAAGCGGACAAGAUCAAGGCCGCAGAGAUCCGCAGCGUGUACCACCUGCACCAGGAGGAGAUCACCCGCAUCAAGAAGGAGUGCGAGCGGGAGAUCCGCAGGCUGAUGGAGGAGAUAAAAUUUAAAGACAGAGCAGUCUUCGUGCUGGAGAGAGAGUUAGGGGUUCAAGCCGGGCAUGCUCAGAGACUGCAGCUCCAAAAAGAGGCUCUAGAUGAGCAGCUGUCCCAGGUCCGAGAGGCCGACCGGCACCCGGGCAGCCCCAGACGGGAACUUCCUCAUGCAGCUGGUGCAGGAGACGCUUCAGACCACUCGGGAAGCCCUGAACAGCAGUUGGAUGAAAAAGAUGCCCGGCGCUUCCAGCUUAAAAUCGCGGAGUUAAGUGCGAUUAUCCGCAAACUGGAGGACCGCAACGCAUUGCUGUCGGAAGAGAGGAAUGAGCUGUUGAAGCGCGUAAGAGAAGCUGAGAGUCAGUACAAGCCUCUGCUGGAUAAAAACAAGCGCCUUAGUCGGAAGAACGAGGAUUUGUCUCAUGCUUUACGCCGAAUGGAAAACAAGUUAAAAUUUGUCACCCAGGAGAACAUAGAAAUGAGACAGAGAGCCGGAAUCAUACGGAGACCCAGUUCCUUGAAUGACCUUGAUCAAAGUCAGGAUGAGAGAGAAGUCGAUUUCUUGAAGCUUCAGAUUGUGGAGCAGCAAAACCUCAUAGAUGAACUGUCUAAGACCCUUGAGGCUGCCGGCUACGUGAAGAGCGUGUUAGAGCGGGACAAGCUGUUAAGAUUCCGGAAGCAAAGAAAGAAAAUGGCAAAACUUCCCAAGCCGGUGGUUGUGGAGACCUUCUUUGGAUACGACGAAGAGGCUUCCCUGGAAUCCGACGGCUCCUCCAUCUCUUACCAAACAGACAGGACGGACCAGACCCCGUGCACCCCAGACGAUGAUUUGGAGGAGGGCAUGGCCAAGGAGGAGACGGAGCUGAGGUUCCGGCAGCUGACCAUGGAGUACCAGGCCCUGCAGCGCGCCUACGCUUUGUUGCAGGAGCAGGUUGGAGGGACGCUGGACGCAGAGCGAGAAGUUAAGACCCGUGAGCAGCUACAAGCCGAAGUGCAGAGGGCGCAGGCGCGGAUAGAGGACCUGGAGAAGGCCCUGGCGGAGCAGGGGCAGGAUAUGAAGUGGAUUGAAGAGAAGCAGGCACUGUACCGGAGAAAUCAAGAGCUUGUGGAAAAGAUCAAACAAAUGGAGACGGAAGAGGCUCGGCUCAGACACGAGGUGCAGGACGCCAGAGACCAAAACGAGCUGCUGGAGUUCAGGAUCCUGGAGCUUGAGGAGAGGGAGAGGAAGUCACCCGCCAUCAGCUUCCACCACACGCCCUUCGUGGACGGGAAGAGCCCCCUCCAGGUGUACUGCGAGGCCGAAGGCGUGACGGACAUUGUGGUUGCGGAGCUGAUGAAGAAGCUGGACAUCCUGGGCGAUAACGCCGUAAGUAACCUGACCAAUGAGGAGCAGGUGGUUGUCAUACAAGCCAGGACAGUCCUGACCUUGGCCGAAAAGUGGCUCCAGCAGAUUGAGGAGACAGAGGCGGCGCUGCAGCGGAAGAUGGUGGAUCUGGAGAGCGAGAAGGAGCUGUUCAGUAAGCAGAAGGGCUACCUGGACGAGGAGCUGGACUACCGGAAACAGGCCUUGGACCAGGCCAACAAGCACAUCCUGGAGCUGGAAGCCAUGCUGUAUGAUGCCCUGCAGCAGGAGGCCGGGGCUAAGGUGGCUGAGCUGCUGUCAGAGGAGGAGCGCGAGAAGCUCAAGGUGGCCGUGGAGCAGUGGAAGCGCCAGGUCAUGAGUGAGCUGCGUGAGCGGGACGCCCAGAUCCUGCGGGAGCGCAUGGAGCUGCUGCAGCUGGCUCAGCAGAGAAUUAAAGAGUUAGAAGAAAGAAUAGAAGCUCAGAAGAGACAAAUAAAGGAACUGGAGGAAAAGCUUUCAUUCUCUGGUCAUAGUCCGUCUUGGCACCCUGACGUGCCCCACAUUGAAUCGGACCCUUUUCCUCCAGUGGGACCAGAGAGCAGGGACAAAAUGGGACGUCGCGUCUCCAUCCCGAAGACCCAGGGAGAUUUGGUCUCUGCACGCCCGUCCCGUGGAGGAAGAGUGAGAAGGGGCAGUGUGUGGGGCGCGGAGCUGCCGUCCACGUGGGAUGCACCAGAACUAGAACUGGCUCUGCCGACUUCUCGGGGGCUUCUCUGGGAGAGGCCUGGCCUUGGCUGCUGGACCCUGGGUCCCUUCUCCCGGACGGCAGCCCCCAUCCCAUUUCCAGGGAUGUGUAGCAUUCCCUGCCAAGCAGGGGUGAGAACUGCUUCUGUGCAGAAGCACCAGCCGCGGGUCCCCUCCUCUCUCUUGGUUCUCACAGUAGCUGCCACUGGUGUCUGGAGGAAGAUUUUCAGAAACAACAGAGGCUUGGCCUGAUGACAAGAUGAAAGCUGGACGGUGACCUUCAUUCAGGGGAACCUGGAGGCUCCCUGGGAUGGUCCUGGGAGGGCUCCCCGACGCCUCAGGGGCCCCUCCGAUGCUGCAAUGUGUUGCUGGGGUCCUGAGCACCUGCUGGCCAACAGACCCCACAUCCACCCUCGUUCAUCAUCAUCUCUGUGGGGACAGACAAGAGCCGUGGCCGCCGCGGGCCGAGUGGUGCCAUCAACCCUCUGCCUCCCUACUCAACCUGAGACAGGAAGGCCAAGAUCCCGCCCAAGCCACCAGCUGGGAGCACCGCGGGACUGAGCCAAGGAAGGCGUGGGGAGCGUGGUGACAGGAGGUGGGACGAGGGGGCGGAGCUGGCUGGAACAUGGAUGCCAGAGGCUGCCUCCAUAGUGCAUCUCCAGAAGUCACAGAGGCCCUGGGCACCCAGAGCCACCCAGCCUGGAAGCCCCUGCACGGGCCAGCCCUGCAGGCCAUGGACCCCGGCGGGCACCGAAGCCUCACCCCAAGCCUUCGCACACGAGGACAGCCCAGGUGAGGAUGGUGGGCGCAAGAAGGGAACCGCGGGGACGGCCUUUCCCCUCCCGCCCUGUGUGGGGACGCUGCAUGAGCCGUGGACCAAGAGGCUGACAGAGAGGAAGCAGUGCAUUGGUGAAGGCAACGUUAGGUGUGAUUUCCAUUCCUGCUGGGAGAUCCGGGCCGCAGCCCGGGAGCUUCGUCCAGCCUGUGGAUGGAGCCUGACUGGCUGCAGAUGGAACUUCUGUGUCCUCCCACCCUAGGUGGGCUAAGGUUCUGUUCUCAGAGCUGAAUUGACAGGAGGUGUGUGUGUGCGCUCACUUGUGUGCACAAGCAUGCAUUUAUGCGUGUUUUCACGCAACCAGAGGAGCCAUUCGUGGGAUUUAGCCAUUUCGAGGCACCUAGAAGUUGAGGCAGCCAGCUGUGCAGCCAGGUGCGAGGUGUUACCUGCAGCAUUGUAUAAAAGAAGCGACUCAGCUGCCGUAGGGAGGACUGGGUUGUCUGGAAGUAUUAGGCUCAUUUUAUAUUUGUGUCAGAAGAAAUGUCUGACUUUGGGGCAGAUGACACAGUGGCUGCGGACCAGGCAUGGCUCCCUAGGUUGAAAUCAGGGAAAAGCUAAUAGUAUCAGACAGAUAUGCUUUUUCUUUGGUGGCUGCAGGAUUUCUGCUGGAAAAUGCACUAUUAAUCAGCACUUGUCCAAGAAAGACCCAUCCAUUUCUGUUGUCAUUCAAGCCACAGUUCCUGAUUUACUCGGCAAGAUACUGGGCCAGUUCAAUGUCUCUAGCUGAGCCUGACCUCGGGGUUUGCGUCUCGAGUCUGAAAUCCUGUUUAGUCCUCUGUGCAUAGUUUUGUCUCAUUUUAACGACUGCAUCUUCUUGGUACAUUUAUUAUACUCAGAACUGAAUGGCACACAAUAGCCUUGUGUUAAUAAAAGCUACCGUGACGCUGUGGGUGAACCACUGGGUUGAAGUCCGAUGGACUCUACGAUGCAGGCAUCCAGAAAUAUGUUGUAAUUCUACCUGGCUCCCUGCCAGCCUGGCCUCCUCCUCUGGGAGAGCUCCUGGCAUGGUCCCAAUGUGUACCUGCAGGGGAACAACAGCUGCAUGGGCCAGCUGUUUCAGAUCUAAAGAUGUGCAGUGAAACUCACAUUCCCAGAUUCACAUCCCUCAUGUUUAUUUGGGUCAUCAUGGUUUAGCAUGUUGUAUAUAUGUCUGGAGCACUUCAUACACCUCUAUCCACCACAGACACUCUUAAUCACAGUUGUGUAAUGAUAAUAAGGCAAACUAUACAGCAAAGAGAAGCAUGUAAAUAUGUACCAAAUUCUUGUGAAGUUGUAAUUGUUUAUAUGUAAAAAGUAUGUAUAUAGGAAAGGGAGAAGGUGCAAGGAAUGUGCUGAAUAACAUCCAAACUGCAUCGCGUCUCUGCCCCAUUCCUGAAAGCACACAUCUAGUUGGAGCGUCAGUUCCUCUCCUUAGAUAUCAUUGUUUUCACUCGUCUAUCAUAGGCACCUUCUUUACAUCUGAUUACAAUACCCAGCAUUUCAGAACUGGGUUUUUGCCCCCAAAAAGGUAAAUAUGAGCAUUUAUCACUGACUCCUCCUGGUCCAGUGAGCAGCAGCAGAAUUCAAGUAUUUAAAAAUAAGGUGCAUUUCUAAAUUGCAGGCUAUACCUUCUUUUCCAAACCAAUGGGCUAGAGUGAAUUUCCCCCAAGUACUUGGGCUGUCUUACUGCUAGCUCUUCUAACAGGGGAAAUCUGUAUGAAUGCAUCACCCCUAAUAAGGCAAGAGGAAGGACCCUGAAAUGUUGCCAGAAAUGUACUGUUACAUCAACAUUUACAUUAUAUUAACAUCAUCACACUCUGUGUUCAACACACAGAACAACAUAGAUACUCUAGUUUGUCUAAAGUAAAAAUCCACAUAAAUAGCAGAUUCCUUUGUUGACACCAGUGUGUUGUUUACCUUGUGCCCAUGGUCCAGAUUUUGAGCUGGAGAAGGACUAUGGCUGUUCCUUAAAGUCUCUGCCCUUGCAGAAUCUGUAGCCUUCAGGAUACCCCGAGUGCCUUACAGGGCUUGUGAACACCGAUACUAGAAGUCAAAAAGAAGAGAGUGCCCAAGUGUGGGUUUGGAGGCACUGACGCAUUCGCCAACUCACCGUCAUCCCAUCCUUGAAACCCUGAGAGAGAGUGUGUGUUUUAUCACAGUAAUGGAAUUCAGUUUAGGCUCAGGAAACUCAUAUUGUGAAUAUAGGUAUCAAAUCAUAUAUUUGUUUACUGUAUAUUUUUUAAAAAGCUUUAUUGUAAAUUUAUGCAAAAACUAACCGGGCCUGUUUUCUUACGGCGGCAUGCCAGGUAGUGUGUGUAUUCUCCCAGGCACUCCCUUCAUAGUCACUCUCUAUCCACGUGACAUUCUGUUCCAUGCUAAGCAGUAUUCACAGGCCUAACAUAGGUUUGUAUGGUGAUCUAGAAGAUUUUACAAAUAUUUUUGUAUUGUGAUUCCUAUGAUAUAUACCAGAGAAUUUUUUACUCGUUUGUAAAUUAUUGUACAGUUUUAAUAAAAAAUGUUUUAAAUCUUAGA
This is an RNA transcript of Gorilla gorilla gorilla (western lowland gorilla), 8369 nucleotides long. It is a transcript of the gene named Janus kinase and microtubule interacting protein 3, with no coding region annotated. Lineage: Eukaryota; Metazoa; Chordata; Mammalia; Primates; Hominidae. The transcript is spliced from 24 exons. The record is from RefSeq and is a predicted model, not a curated record.